AUUCCAGCUCCAAUAGCGUAUAUUAAAGUUGUUGCAGUUAAAAAGCUCGUAGUUGAAGUUUGGUCUCGGACGCUGGGUCUGCUUCAUUGCAUGUACUUGACGGUCCGAGACUUCCUUCUUGGUGAACGGCCGCCUUCGGGUGGUCCGGAACCAGGACUAUUACUUUGAAAAAAUUAGAGUGUUCAAAGCAGGCCAUAGGCCCGAAUAUAUUAGCAUGGAAUAACAGAAUAGGACGUGCGGUUCUAUUUUGUUGGUUUCUAGAACUGCCGUAAUGAUUAAAAGGGACAGCCGGGGGCAUUAGUAUUUGCACGCUAGAGGUGAAAUUCUUGGAUUGUGCAAAGACUUCCUACUGCGAAAGCAUUUGCCAAGAAUGUUUUCAUCG
Molecule: ribosomal RNA, 382 nt
Filed under: Pseudozyma sp.
Lineage: Eukaryota; Fungi; Basidiomycota; Ustilaginomycetes; Ustilaginales; Ustilaginaceae
Description: partial small subunit ribosomal RNA
Rfam family: Eukaryotic small subunit ribosomal RNA
Source: RNAcentral